Molecule: long non-coding RNA, 6625 nt
Organism: Homo sapiens (human)
Lineage: Eukaryota; Metazoa; Chordata; Mammalia; Primates; Hominidae
Exons: 2
Source: RefSeq, a predicted model, not a curated record
UGUUGGUGGCAGAUAGCCAGGCUGACAGAGGUGUUCCCCCUCAGGUGAGGGGGCCUCAUGGCCACAGCACUAAUGGGGGGUAGGAAGGGGUUCACGUCCGCUUCCUGAGCUGAGCUGCCUCUGUAGCACCUGUGCCUCCUCUAGGGCGGCAUCCUACUUCCAGUUCAUUCUUGAUCCCACAGAAUGCAGGGACAGGGCACUAAGUGUUCAGCUCUGCUGGCCUCAGCCACUCGCUCUGAGCUCCCAGUGGUAUGAGUCUGUCAGAGACACUGGUACCAAGAGGUCCAACAUGUGACACUUCCAAGCAGUCAGUGUGGAAGUUUCUCACAACAGUCCAAGAAGAAGCAAGAACAACUCUCUUGGGCUGGAAAGGAUUAGAGUUGAUCCAGGCGCACAAUCUUCAGAUCCUGCCUUCAAUCUUGGCCUCAGGAGACAGAGCCUCCCAUCAAAGGACAGAGCCACCAAAACCAACUCCAUUUACAGUAUUCCAGUGGCUUCUGUGAGCCAGAAAUUUCUAGAAGCUCUUGAAGGGCCUUUUGUGGCAGUGCACAAGGCUGAGUUGUCACAGCCCUACUUGCAGAGGUGGUGAACCCUGUGAAGAGCCUCCAUCUCAAAGACACACACUUUGGAGAGCAGUAGACCUUGCAGGGGAUGGGGAAUUCACGCCCCUGUGAAACUGGGAUGACGUAGAAUUAUGGAAGAGUACCUGUCCCUGAGUGUCCUUGAAAGUCAAGCAAUUAAAACAGAUGCAAUCCCUUUGGAUGGAGAUGCAGCACAGCAUCAUUGCUGUGGAAGUCCAUGGUACAGGGGUGGCUGGCAGUCACAGCAGACUCUGCAAAAUGGGACUCCAUCCUGGUUGGCUUCUAAGGAUCAAGGUAGACCAUUCUUACAAUAAUGACAUAGAAUAAGAGACAUGGAUACUUCCUUGGUUGAAAGAAACACACUGGCAGCUAGUACAGUGGAGAACACCUUCUCUUGUUCAUCCUAGAGAAAGUGUCCCCGGGGUCAGGGGACAAGGCUGGGCCAGAGCUGCUCUCAGUUGAAUAUAAGUGAGUGGUAUUUGAAUUACUGUAAGCUGGAACUCAAAAGCUCUCUGUGAUUCAUAAAGCAGCUCUUUUCAUAUGGGUUCCAAAUUUCCUUUUCUGUUCAUUCAACAUCCUCUGACAAGCUCUCUGAACUUCAUUCUGGCUUAAAAAUCUAAGAAAGCCAUGAUAGUGAAUACCCAUGUCAUGACUGUUUACCCUCAGUCCUCAGACUCGCCCUUCCCUGCUGAGGUGCCGCCCUGUGGAGAGGGAUUAACCUCGAAUGAGACGGUGGGACAGAGACCGAUGCACUGUUGUGGUCACGGUUCCAUAGGUGUGCUGUGUUUUUUCUCAGCAUACCCAUUUUAGGCUCGUGUGGUAUCAAACUUUUCUGCCAGUAAGUAGAAAAGGCAAUUUUUGUAAAAACUGAGAAACAAGUUGCAGGCGAGAGCAGAUAUUUCAGAAAUGACUCAGAAUCAUGUUUUGCUAGAAGAAUGCUAAUGAAAUACAGAGCGCAUAUUCAUGAAACUGAUAACACUCCCUCGGAAAGAAAAUGACUCUUAUUAGACAUCUGAACUUGAGCAAAACAUUCAUGUCAUCGAUUAUAAUAUAAUGGAUGGCUCCUACUCUGGCAGCAAAAUUUAGCUUUAAUGUAACUACAGAAGCAAAGAUUAUUCUUGGGGGAAUAAUGACAGAGUGUAUCUUUCUGAUCAUCUGAAGCAGUUCAUUCACCUCUGAAACUGACUGUAAACCUCAGGAAAGAAGCUUCUCAGAAAUACAUGACCCACUAAGCUAAGAGCCAACUCCCUAGUGAAUCACCUUCCACACCCGUGACCUCAAGUCCAGGACCCGUGUAAAGCUAGUUUUUACCAUGUCUUCUAUGACUGCUGGGGGAUGGUACACUAUCAUCCUAGAUCCAAUUACCCACAGAAAAAAACAAAAAACAAAAAACAACUAAACCAGCUACUACUAAGCUUGAGCAUGACUAGCACUGAACUACCUAAUUUCUGACUGUUACAAAUUAAUCAAGUCACAGCACAUUUGCGAUUCAUAUCAGCUACCUAGGGCGUUUCUGUAGACAGCUAACCCAUUUGGGAAGCAGUCAGCUAAUACUAUCUGGAUGUCAGAUGCAUCUCAUGUUUUGGCAGCUCUUUAUAGUCUUUCAAGGGGAUUGUGUUGACAGGCACUUGCCCUUCAACUUGCUGCUCUGUUUGGCAGCGGCUCUGUUUUCAGUCUUGCCUUCAUUGCACUUGAGGAUUUUCCACAGCCAUGUAUGGGGAUGUUCUCAUGUAAGAGGGUCAGACGGGCAAAAAUCUGGGAAGAAGGGAUUCCAAGCGACAGGGACGGGGUUUCACUGUGUUGGCCAGGAUGGUCUCGAUCUCUUGACCGUGUGAUCUGCCUGCUUCGGCCUCCCAAAGUGCUGGUAUUACAGGCGUGAGCCACUGCGCCCAGUCAAAGAUGUUCUCUUUUAAGAUUACUUUUUAAAAAGACUCACACGGUACCUUCCCACAAGAAGACAUGGAGACUAUGUGACGUAGCCUGUGGGUCCCUGGACACCGGGACUAGAGGACCCUUCCCAAGAGCAGACCGCAGGCAAGAUACCAUUCAUUGGCCUCGCUGCCUGUGCCCGCGGAUUCCGCACGUGGCCACACCUCUUCUAUACAAGGCAAGGUGGCGGUGAGUAGGAAAACAUGCAGUCCUGACCUGGGCAGCUGGCAUAUGGGGGUUUCUGCCCCCAAGGCGCUUCUAGCACAAAACCUAGUGCUAGGUCUCAACCUCAGUAGCAAAGAGGGAGUCCCCAGAAGGUGCCAUGAGGGUGGGCCCUGAAAAACAGCUGAGUGGGGUCGCCAGAUUUUGGGGGUGGAGUGACAGGAAGACUGGUAAAUUUGAACUUCUCUGCUUGGAACAUAAGAAAUACUCUCCAUGACACAGGUGUCUGCACAAAAUCAGGCAUCUCUUGUCCCUGGAAAGUUAUAUCCCCAAGAUAGAGCUGGCUGGCUCCCAGAACUAGGGUGAGCAAAGCCCCCACAGCAAGGAGCUCUGUUCUGAUUUUGGCUUCCUGGGUGGCCCUGGAGAUCCUGCAGCCCGGUGGUUAUGGAGUGGCCUGGUGCUCCUCCUCAUCAGAGAUCCAGGCUAGCCUCCAGGGAGAUAAAUGAGAAGCACAAGCAUUUUCCCCAUAUGACCUAACUUAAAGGAUUUGAAAUGCGGUGAAAACAGAAGCCACAACAGAAAUCCCAGAAGCAUAAAAGACGAAGCGUCCAGUCUCUCCUGACCCACUAUGGCCUGCCCAAGUCCUGUGGCUCAUCAGCUGCACACUGUCACCCAGGCCACCGGUGUAUGCCCGUCUCCCUGAGCCUGAGCUGGCCAGAGGGAAGCUGGGCUCAAAAGACCUGAAGGAAAAACUGGAAACAGACAAAGGACUUCAAGGACCCACUGGAAACAGCCCGCACUUCCUGUAGAACUAGAGAAUUUCUCUCCUUCUUUAAUCUUAGUGGACUCCAGAGAAAGUGGAUAGAAAUAGGCAUGAUAUAAAAUAUCACAUCAAAUCCACUCACCUCUUGCAUUCCUCUGUGAAGGUGGUUGCCAAGAAGGGGAAGUUAGAAACCAGGCCUGGAGCCACAUUGCUGGCCAGGAAUCCCAGCUAAGUCCCUUAUUAGCUAUGCAACUUGAGCAAGGAGUUCUCCAGCUCGUGACCUCCAUUUUCUUAUCUGUAAAAUGGGAAUGAAAAUAACAUGACCGUGGGCCACACAGGGACGUUAUAAGAAGAAAUGAGUGAAUACAUAUGUAGCCUUUAGAACAGCAAUAGACAUGCAAUAAGCAAUCAAAACGUUAGCUAUUCUUAAUAGCUCAAAGGACUUGAAGGCACUCUUUUAUAUAUGUAUUUAUUGAUUUUUCCAGAAGAUGAAAAUAGAUCAUUUGUCUCUAAUCACAUGCAGUGCCAAAAGCCACCAGGUUUCUUGGGGUUUGUGUCACUGAAUCCACAUAACCCAAUGUGCUUUCUGACCAUCCUCAUUCCUGCUCAUGGUUCCUGAGGCUCCCGAGCAUCCCCUUAGUUACCAGACAUAAAUUCAAUUAUCCUCACCAAAUGCCAGGAAAAGAGGAUUGCAUUUCACCAACCAGGAAUGUCAGAAAAAGUUCAUUCUCUCACUAGGAUUUUCUUCCCUUUGGCUAUAUUAAGACACUGAGUUUUACUUAGAAAGCACUAAAGGUGAAGAUAUGGUCACAGGAUGCUGUCAGUUCUAUUGACACGACCCAGCAAAAAUAAUAAUAAUAAUAAUAAAAAUGCUUGAAAUGCAAUACACAUAUGUGGACACAGAAAUGCUAAGAUGUGUUUCAGAACAUGCAGUCUCUCCAUGUUCAGAAUUAACACCCUCAGUACAUGCUUCUGUGCUUCUUUACCAGUGCCUACAUCCAUGCCAUCCUGUUGUUAUCCAUGGAUGAACAACUCAGAAUUUGGAGAAAUGGAUUUGGGGAAAUCUCUGAGACACAUUUUGAAACCAGCGAGGAAUUAGGCUGCAAGCGGCAGCAGCAGUAACAGUGACAGCAGCAAGAAACAGCCACCUGCAUCUCAAGAGUGGCACAGGGCUUCCACUGGCUGAGGCGGACACAUGGCGGAUGUGUAAGAAGCGUGCAGAAAGUGGUCAGUCGUGUGUGCACACACGAAUACAUGCUCAGUGUCAGGCCAAGGCCCUGUGGGCCUAAGGAAAACAAUGUCACGUUUCAACAUGAUUUGGGAAACCCUACUCUCCACUGAAAUCUCAUAUUGGCAGCAGAAAACUCUGCCGAUGCCUCAGAAGCCAAAGAUAACUAAAUUGUGUUUCUUUUAGUUCUUGCAUAGGGGCAAGCCCACUUCACAUUUCAUGAUACACCAACUCCUAGAGAGCUCCUUUGGGGCCCUAUUUAAUUUACUUAACUUUUGUUGGCAAUGGAAAGUGGGCCUGCCACAUUUGAUGACUAGAGCAGGUCCAUCCCAGUCACCUGCCUUCCCAAAAGUGCAUUGGAGAGUGGAACAGAAACCACAACCCACUGUCUCGGACAGGCGUCAGCAUUGUAAAAUACACUCUGGCACCCAGCCCUGGCAGAAUAGUGGUCUACAGAGGCAAAACUUCAGAUUUUUACUAUACCCAAGGCAUAAUGAACUUUAUCGAGGGUAAAUAUUGCCCAGCCUUCUUUCAUGUAGGAACCAAGAAAACUAGACCCAACAGUUUUGCCUUUCCUUCCUUCUCUGUACAUGUUCUUCCUAGUUGUACUGGAUUUUGCUAAUAUCAUAAGCACAGCUGUGAUACAGCCAGGUCUUUAUGCAUGGAUUUUACUCUUUGAGCAGCUUGAAGACAAUUCUGUCUCGCUCUCUCUGGGUUCUCACGAGCACAGAGCUGUAACCAUAAUAAGCUCUCAAUAAAGGUUGAAUAGAGGCCACAGAGAUCUUCAGGCCAGAAGUCAGAGGUCAUUCCUUGAGGACGUGUUAGUGACAGUGUCCUGUACAGUGGCUAGGCAGAGAAAGACUGCUGAGAACAGACAGACCUGGCUUUCAUUAGUUAAGAGAUGGACAGAGGAAGGAGCUCCAUCCACUCACAAAGACAGUGGCCUCCAUAUCCCGAGAGGGGAGUCAGGAGCAUGACAUGUUCUACACAACUACAGUCUUCAUCAUAAUCCCAAAGGCAGCCAUAACCAUGGGUAAUUGGGAUAAUAUUUAGAAAAUAUUUGCAUGCCAAAACUGACAUUUUUAGAGGCCAUGGAGAAACAGGUUUCCAAUGUCAAGUUUUGUUGAAAGAGGACACACAUUAUUCUAGAUUCUGAAAGUUCCCUUCAUCUUCAAAGAGCUAGGCCUUGCCAGUGUGACUGUGGAGCUUGCUAUAAGCCUGAAUAAAGAGAAGACAGAGGACAUCAAGUUAGGGAAACCCCACCCAACAGGAAGGAGACACUCUUCUGGCCAAGAGGCAAGUUGGGGAGGGAGGGAUGCAGAGAGAAGAGAAGAUGAGAGAAGUUAAGGCUGAGCUAGUAUCUGAGAAUACCUCACAUGUGCCCCACAGCCUGCCUCUUCCUCUGCUACACUGUGGCCAGAAAGGGGUCUCAGUGUUCUACGUGCCCCCAGAGGGUGUAGCUGCGAGCCAGACUGCUGAGAGGUCACCUUUGCAGAGCCUAGAGACAGAUGACAGACAAAGCUGAGAUUUAGAGAUCUUUGGGGCCAGGAAGAUCUGAGCAGUGGAGGUCCCAAAGCACCAGCAGAGACAGCUAGACCUAGUGGCCCCAGAAUUGGAUGCUCAAAGACAUGAUCAGGCCAGGCCCAGCUCAAUCAGCACCUGCUAUGUCUCAAAGGCAGGAUGAGUUCAGAGGCACCACUCCACACUGUGAGAAUCCAUAAUUGUUUCCCUCUUCCAGCUGCCAACCUGGGACAUAGAGAGUGAAGAGACAUCCUUUGAGAAGGAAAUCUUAAUUUUUAUUUAACUGUGUAUUUACCCAAAAGAAAGUGAGUUAGACCAAAAGAGUCUAAGUUGCUUUCAAUGGGCAAGUUUAAGGUUCUCCCUCCUUCCUCUGCCAUCAACAGGAAAUGAUGAGAUCCAUAUAGAGAAUAUUUAAAAGGAAAUAAAUUAUCAUUUUCUGCC